This 252-nucleotide ribosomal RNA is filed under the name uncultured bacterium. RNAcentral's name for it is "partial 16S ribosomal RNA". It matches the Rfam family "Bacterial small subunit ribosomal RNA", at positions 524 to 776 of the family's 1533-position model. The record is from RNAcentral.
GACAGAGGUGCCGAGCGUUAGGCGGAAUCACUGGGCUUAAAGCGUGUGUAGGCGGAUCUGUAAGUACCUUGUGAAAUCCCACGGCUCAACCGUGGAACUGCUUGGUAUACUGCGGGUCUUGAGCCACCUAGGGGCAAGUGGAACAAACGGUGAGCGGUGAAUGACGUAGAUAUCGUUUGGAACGCCAAUGGUGAAAACAACUUGCUGGGGGUGUGCUGACGCUGAGACACGAAAGCCAGGGGAGCAAACGGG